RNAcentral lists this long non-coding RNA (1094 nucleotides) under Erythranthe guttata (spotted monkey flower). Its description in RNAcentral is "long non-coding RNA (EGUT_LNC001213)". The record is from RNAcentral. Lineage: Eukaryota; Viridiplantae; Streptophyta; Magnoliopsida; Lamiales; Phrymaceae.
GGUAAAGUAUAAUGAAUUAAUAAAUAAAUUUAAAUAGAACAUUUCAUUCAACAACAUAAGACCGAAGCAUCAAAAUGAAACACAAUAAAGUUGAACACAUAAGGCUUUGAAAUUUAAAGAAACAGAAUCAAACACACAAAAUACAUAGUCCAUGAAACAUAACUCAACGAUUAGUAACAUCGGAAAGACCUUCCGUCUCGUCUGUAAUAGUCUCAUCCGAGUCCACUUCCGUUUCAUCACCAAUCGGCGCAAUCACACAAACGACAUUUCGAUCGACAAAUUGCAAGUAUGCCAUGUCAUUGUUGUCUUCCAUAUAUUCGUCCUUAUGAUUGUGCUCGGACAUAUCUUCGUCGUCAACCAUGAUUGGAUCGUUGAUGUCAUAGCCUUGGCCACCAUAAAAUUAAAUUGAACCUGCUUGUUUCUCGUCAAACACCAUUUCACAAAUUAUUUUACUUCGUCAGUGGUGAAGAUUUCUAACCUGGUCUAGUAGCCUACCUUGCAUAUUACAGAAUGUUCCCCUAUUUGUUAAGUUAUUACGACGGCGACGAGUUCUAAUCAAGCGUGUGAGUUGUGUGAACAUGAGGAUUAAUUUCAUUUGUAUGAGUUGUGUGAACAUGAGAAUGAGCAAUUUCAUCUGUCAAUCACUUCGUCCAUUGCUAACAUUAGAAAUUGUUGUUCACCAUUAGUAACGACUAUAAAUUGUACUACAAAAUCCCCAAAAACAAAUAAGGCAAAUAAAAUAAAUUAUAGAAUGAGAUUCAAGGUUUAUCUGCCAACCAACAUGAACAAAUUAUCACAUAUUUUAGUUGAAUGAUGCAACCUCACAAGCAACCCAAUAUUAUCCCACUGCAAUUCCAACUGAAUUAAAUCAAAAUAUUCCCAAUUAUAUCGUGCUACUUUCAUAAAACAAAUUGAGAAUUCAGUGGGCUGUGUAAAAGCAGUAGUAAAACAAAAUUAGAUACAUAUCAUAACAAUGGGAAAAAAAAUGUACACAAUUUAUGAAACGAUAUAUGGCAGAGAAGAGAGAAUCGGAAGUCGCUAUGGAGAGAAGAAGCUAGGGCUCCAGUGAGAUGCGAAAAUUGGGGAAAUAAUGC